Molecule: small RNA, 182 nt
Filed under: Chrysemys picta bellii (western painted turtle)
Lineage: Eukaryota; Metazoa; Chordata; Testudines; Emydidae
Description: TUC338 (ENSCPBG00000007547.1)
Source: RNAcentral
CUGGCAGCCUCAGAACUCUGGUGUUCUGUUCAGAGUCUGUCACCAGAAUAGGUACAACACAGAGGGCAACAAGGCAAGCUUUUCAUAUGUGCUCUGUCAAUAUGCCUCAAAGCUGAGCUGGGGACCGCCUCUAAGGGUGAGAGGAUAGUUCAGCAGCCAUAUCUAUUCAGUCCCUACCUUCC